CCUACGGGCGGCAGCAGUGAGGAAUAUUGGUCAAUAGACGAGAGUCUGAACCAGCCAAGUAGCGUGAAGGAUGACUGCCCUAUGGGUUGUAAACUUCUUUUAUAAAGGAAUAAAACGAGGCACGUGUGCCUUUUUGCAUGUACUUUAUGAAUAAGGAUCGGCUAACUCCGUGCCAGCAGCCGCGGUACUACGGAGGAUCCGAGCGUUAUCCGGAUUUAUUGGGUUUAAAGGGAGCGUAGAUGGGUUGUUAAGUCAGUUGUGAAAGUUUGCGGCUCAACCGUAAAAUUGCAAUUGAUACUGGCAGUCGUGAGUACAGUUGAGGUAGGCGGAAUUCGUGGUGUAGCGGUGAAAUGCUUAGAUAUCACGAAGAACCCCGAUUGCGAAGGCAGCUUACUAAACUGUGACUACAUUGAUGCUCGAAAGUGUGGGUAUCAAACAGGAUUAGAUACCCCGGUAGUC
This 459-nucleotide ribosomal RNA is filed under the name uncultured bacterium. Its description in RNAcentral is "partial 16S ribosomal RNA". It matches the Rfam family "Bacterial small subunit ribosomal RNA", at positions 338 to 795 of the family's 1533-position model. The record is from RNAcentral.